AAUGAGAUGCAAAUAUCAAGCAUUAAAUACCAACUAUUAGAUUAGUUAAGUAAUAUACCAAAAUAUAGCGAAAUAACAAGGUUAGUGAAGCCAACAAGUCAGUAAAGUUUAGCUGUCGGUUUAACACGAUGCAAAAAGACAUAAAGUUUCAAGGAAAUAUAAGUGAAAAUAUAAAUGAAUGAAUAUGCAAAUCAAGUUGAAACUAUGGCCGCGUUCACACUGCAAGUCUUAAUGCUCAAUUCGGAUAUUUUGCUCAGAUCUGAUUUUUUUUGUUUGGCUGUUCACAUUACCUUUUAAAAUGUGGCCUAUAUCAGAUACCAACUUUACUUUCGAACUGACCCGCAUGCGCAAACGAACGAUAACAAUGACGUCACACACAGCACGCCGUUGCGCUAAAGUUGGCGAGGUUAUGGAGGAAAUAUUGUAUCAUCUGGUGCAAGCAAACAUAUCAUGUAAUGCUAUAAUGUGAUGUAUUCAAUGCAAACAUUAUGAGCUGGUUCAUGUAACCACUUUAUAUAACACUCUUAACACACACGUUACCAGUCACGCUUGUGUCACGUUUUCGCCGAGGAGGUGAAAAAAAAAGGCGCAUAAUUGUGAGGAAUGUCGAUGUAGAUUGACGUAAAAGUCGCAUCAAAUCCGCCUUGGCUGUUCACACUGCGGCCACAUUGGAAAAAAAUCAGAUUUGGGUCUGAUUCAGGACCACAUAUGGAAGUGGCCCAGAUCUGAUUUGAAAAAAUCAGAUCUGGGCCAGAUUUGAGUGUUCACACUACUCCUGAAGAAGUCUGACCUGGUCACUUGACCCCAAAAAAAUCGGAUUUGGGCCACUUUUACCUGCAGUGUGAACGUGGCUUAUGUUAUCAUCUUAAACAACCAGACAUGUUAUGGAGGUUUUAUGAGGUUAAUCUGCUCAUAAGAUUUGUUUAAUUCAGUGGUCUUCACUAUUUUUUUCAUGUGAGCCACACUGAUAGGACAAAGUCAAUAGGAGAGCCACUUUCACCUCAAAGUAUGCCAAGUUAUUCAGUCUUAAAUAGCUUAUCUGCUUAAAUACAAUGUACAAUAUUGCAAUACAAUAAUUACUCGAGUUGCGGAUGACGCAUGUUCCCCAUCAGUUACCUCUUUUGUCCCUGUCACAUUGCUUUGUUGCUGUUCAUUUUGUGCGUGGGAUUGUUUGAUAAGCAAUCGAUCCAUUUUUUAGUCCGUGUGUACAGUAAACACAAGUUGUUAACUAGCAUGAAACACAAACUAGCUUCUGGCAGGCCGCCAAAAACUGGCUAUUGUGCAGAACGCAGUGAGUCAGUGACGAGUCAAAUAAUAUAUAUAAAUAUAUAUUAUUAUUUGUAAUAGAGCACAUUCGUUUUUCUAUGCUUCCCUGAUUGUUUUUAAUGUUAUUUAAAUGAAAAAUAAAUGUUAACCACAUGAUCAUAUCAUCGUAUUAUUUACUGCCAUGCGAGCCGCAUAUUAAAGCUUGGCAAGCCGCAGGAGGCUCGUGAGCCGCGCAAUGAGUAACACUGGUUUAAUUGUUAGCCUUUUCAUGUCAGUGCAAUACUCAAGAAGUGAUUCAGAUUCCAAAACACGUCUUCGCUUCUGUUUGGGUUUAUUUUUAAUAAAUAUUAUUAUUUAUUUAAUUAGCAAGAUUUAUUAUGUAUUAUCCAAUUACCAUUUAUUUAUAUAACAUUAAUUAACUAAUUAAUUAAAUAAUUAAUGAAUAUAAGAAUUAAAUCCAUAUCAAAAUCCUGCCACUUUCUCUAUCACCUCCUGUCAAGUGCUUCUCUUAUUUUUGUGUGUGUGUGUGUGUGUGUGUGUGUGUGUGUGUGUGUGUGUGUGUGUGCACUGCCUGAGGUGACACACCCCUUGUAAGUGUUCCAGGUAAAUGGAUGAGCAACAUUUCUUCGGAAGGAUGCAUCAUGAUGUUUGAUUUCCCAUGUCUGUGCAUGUCUCUCUCUCUCUCUCUCUCUCUCUCUCAAACACACACACACACACACAACCAUGCACGGAACCAUUCAUAUUCGCAUGCAAACGUUUUAUAUCAUACACACUUUCUUGCAUGCAAAACCUUCUUUUUUAUAUUUUCCUCGCCUAAAUAAAGGUCCAAAAGUGCUCAUUUAAAAGUGUUUCUAAUGUGAACGCCAUAGUGGCCGCUGUGGCUGACGUGGUUUCAUUCCAACAAAGCAGAAGCCACUGGAAAGUCAGUUGAAGGCCAAGAUGAACUGAUUAAAAAGGUACAAUCAGAUAUGGCUCCACACUGCCAUAUCAUAGUGAGUUCUCCUGAUGGGCACGGUGGCUUAGUGGUUAGCACGUUUGCCUCACACAUCCAGGGUUGGGGGUUCGAUUUCCGCCUCCGCCUUGUGUGUGUGGAGUUUGCAUGUUCUCCCCGUGUCUCGGGGGUUUCCUCCGGGUACUCCGGUUUCCUCCCCCCGGUCCAAAGACAUGCAUGGUAGGUUGAUUGGCAUCUCUGGAAAAAUUGUCUGUAGUGUGUGAUUGCGUGAGUGAAUGAGAGUGUGUGUGUGCCCUGCGAUGGGUUGGCACUCCGUCCAGGGUGUAUCCUGCCCUGAUGCCCAAUGACGCCUGAGAUAGGCACAGGCUCCCCGUGACCUGAGGUAGUUCAGAUAAGCGGUAGAAGAUGAGUGAGAGCGAGCGAGCAAGUUCUCCUGAUUGACAGUUUCCUUGUAUUGAAUGGAAAAAAACAGCAACUCAAGAACAAACAGUGUCUAUUUUGGUCUGCAUCUUCCACUCCCUUUAGUAAUCAUGUAAGGUGUCUGUGUGUGUGUGUGUGUGUGUGUGUGUGUGUAAUAGAAAGGGAAAGGGAAAGAAAUAAAGAUGGAAGAUUUUGACAGAUGAAAAAAGGUGAACGUGAUUAGAUAAACAAGAUAAUGAGAAAAAUGUAACUAGAGAAAUUAUGAGAGAAAAAGAACGAAUAAGGCGACUGGGACUCGACCUGCACCUUCCCUGUUUACAGUGAAGCUGCUCAUUGUUCGGCUAUAAAACCAAUUACAUACAUAUGUGUGUGUGUGUGUGUGUAUGUAUGUGUGUGUAUGUAUGUAUGUGUGUGUCUUACCCAGACUCUUCCUUCCAGUUCUCCUUGUCUUUACUUUGGUGUGUCUUAAGAACCCUCUCCAGCUCCUACAGAGAGAAAGAAAGCGUCAGAGGAAGAUAAAGAGAGAUAACUCAAUUUAAUAGAAAUGUGCAGCUUGGAGAACAUGGAAAUGUUUUCCCAUUAAACCAUCAGAGAGAUCUUCCAGUAUGAAUAAGGGAGUGUGUGCUGUGUAUGAGACCUUUAUACAGGUGAUGUAGGGUGUGUUCUGCUGCAUGUCGGCCUCACAGAGAGCAAUAUCGUCAUCUGGGUUUGGGUCAAAGUCAUACAGGUCCUGAUCUGCACCCACACACACACACACACACACACACACACACACACACACACACACACACACAGUGUACAUGCAAUUUUGAGUCAGAGUCUCGUAACAGAUCAGCUACACAGUGAAGUAAGACAGGAAGUCCACAGUGUUCCAAACAUCAGAACAACAGCACAUCUGGUGUCACAUUACUGUACUUAACAACCUUAUGUCAGUUGACAUAAUUACACAAAAGGUUUUUACACAAGAUAUUAACUUGUCAGACAGUUUUCUUGUAACCCAAAUCUAAAGCAAACAUCAGACCUUUGUGUAAACACUGUCAUUUAUGAUGAAUAACCCAUAUUAUAUGCCCUAUUACCUAAUCAUUAGUAGAUAAUAGAUUUUAUUACAACAGGGAACGUUAUUCUCAUGUUUCUGUAUCUGUGGUUCCUGUAAACAUGGCAUUGGCGGUUCUAGGAAUUUUCUGUAACAGGGGUCAUUAAGGGGCCCCAUGUUACAUUCAGGGGCCAAGUACAGGGUACAUUCAAGCACACAAAAUAAAUUAUUCAGUACAGUGCAAAUACAUUUCGGCAGUCGUUCCUUUUUCAAACGCUCGAGUGCCGCUAAUUGUUCGGGGGUGGAAUUGCAUCUGUGAUCCUUGUGAAAAAAAAAUUCUCCGGUUGCUCUUCUCGUCGACGAUUGAUGGAACGGGGGCCAAUCAGGGGCCAAUCAGAUUUCAGAAGGGGCCAGGGCCCCUGUGGCCCCGCCUCUAGAACCGCCCCUGAAACAUGGCAAACACAUACCUCGAUUUGAGUCCAGUUUGCAGAGCAAAGAGUGGGCUUCAGCCCGCGCGGUCUCUGACACCUGAGAGUGUAGACUGAUCGUGUCGUCAUCCGAGGGCUGAUGAAAGAGAAAGUUGAGGGUAGAUAGUCUCUUAUCACCGUUGUCACUGCCAAUACCUGAAUCAGGCCCGUGGUUCUUACUAGGGUAAAAAUCCUCUAUGCUGCACACACACAUAUACACAAACACCCACCCACACACACACACACACACACACACACACACACACACACACACACACAAACGAAUUGUCACCCAGACUAAACAUGACAUUCAUUUACUUGUUCAAUCUGAGCUCAUUAUAAGAAAUGUAUUAUUUCUUUUUGCGAUACUACGUUUAAAUUGUAUUACUUUAUGAUUUUAUAUUUCUAAAGUAGUUCUACUUUCAAUAUUUAUUGACGGGGAAACCCUCUGCUGUAUACUGUAACAACAACUGCCUUAAAUUAAAAACAAACCUAAAGAUCUGUCUAUAUUUUCUAUUAAUAUAAUCUAGCAGUAUAUAUAGCAGUGUAUUAAUAUAAUAUAGUGGUGAGUUUUUGAACUAUGAGUUUCAAAUGAGAAAGAAUGUACUAGUUAUUAAUAAAUUAUUAAAUAAAAACAUUUUAUGAUAGUGGAUGCAGUUAUCUGUACGUCUUUAUUUUACAGAACACUAAAGCUCUACGGGGGGGCACGGUGGCUUAGUGGUUAGCACGUUUGCCUCACACUUCCAGGGUUGGGGGUUCGAUUCCCGCCUCCGCCUUGUGUGUGUGGAGUUUGCAUGUGUGAAGUUUGCAUGAGUGAAUGAGAGUGUGUGUGUGUGCCCUGUGAUGGGUUGGCACUCCGUCCAGGGUGUAUCCUGCCUUGAUGCCUGAUGACGCCUGAGAUAGGCACAGGCUCCCCGUGACCCGAGGUAGUUCGGAUAAGCGGUAGAAAAUGAGUGAGUGAGUGAGUGAGUAAAGCUCUACAAAUAAUCUGUAGCGGUUUAGGUUUUAGGAUUUGAACAACAGUGAUCUAAUGGUAUCUUGAGGGCACAUUUGGGUCGUAAAGUGAGCAUGUGCACAGACCUGUCUGUUAACUGCUGUGCUAAACACCGUUUGCCAGGUAAGGGCAGAUCCAGCGAGUCGGGUUUCUUCUCCAGACGACACGCUUGCAUGUUUAAAUACUUAAAGAUAUGAAUCUUUCCCUUCAGACAGAUCUGGAAACAAAUCAGAACAGCCAGGUGUUAGUGACGUACAUUUUAGGCUGCUAUGACAAUCCCAAGUCUGUCCCUUCAAUGGGAAAUCUUGUUCCUAAUCUCAGUCGAUAAUCUCUUAGUCUGUAUUUACGCAGGACUGACUUUCCUGUAUGCUGCAUUGACGUAAUGUAUUCAUUCCCUAAAAUGGUUUAAGUUGCUCAUCUCUUUUUUCUUUGUGAGCUCAGGUUUCUGUCCCCAUUCAAGUCAACUGGCUCCAGAUCCACUGCCACCACCACCAGGACAAAGUGUUUAGUAAAGGUGGAUGAACGGACUUUAUAGUCUUAUUGCUUUAUGUCUGUGCUUUGAGGACAUCUGCUGGUCAUAAACGCGUUUAUAAAUAAAAACCCAUAGCAAAUAAAGUAAUAGUUAAUCGCA
This is a long non-coding RNA of Tachysurus vachellii, 5763 nucleotides long. RefSeq lists it as uncharacterized. The record is from RefSeq and is a predicted model, not a curated record. The transcript is spliced from 2 exons. NCBI's taxonomy places the organism in Eukaryota, Metazoa, Chordata, Actinopteri, Siluriformes, Bagridae.